GGGAAAUUAGUCUAAUUAAAGACAGUUGAUUUCGACUCAUCUAACUAUGGUUCAAACCCAUAAUUUCCUU
Molecule: transfer RNA, 70 nt
Filed under: Microhyla mixtura
Lineage: Eukaryota; Metazoa; Chordata; Amphibia; Anura; Microhylidae
Description: tRNA-Arg
Rfam family: tRNA
About the family: Transfer RNA (tRNA) molecules are approximately 80 nucleotides in length. Their secondary structure includes four short double-helical elements and three loops (D, anti-codon, and T loops).
Source: RNAcentral